RNAcentral lists this ribosomal RNA (834 nucleotides) under Cladosporium tenuissimum. RNAcentral describes it as "LSU rRNA". It matches the Rfam family "Eukaryotic large subunit ribosomal RNA", at positions 48 to 908 of the family's 3401-position model. The record is from RNAcentral. Lineage: Eukaryota; Fungi; Ascomycota; Dothideomycetes; Cladosporiales; Cladosporiaceae.
UAGCGGAGGAAAAGAAACCAACAGGGAUUGCUCUAGUAACGGCGAGUGAAGCAGCAAUAGCUCAAAUUUGAAAUCUGGCGUCUUCGACGUCCGAGUUGUAAUUUGUAGAGGAUGCUUCUGAGUAACCACCGACCUAAGUUCCUUGGAACAGGACGUCAUAGAGGGUGAGAAUCCCGUAUGCGGUCGGAAAGGUGCUCUAUACGUAGCUCCUUCGACGAGUCGAGUUGUUUGGGAAUGCAGCUCUAAAUGGGAGGUAAAUUUCUUCUAAAGCUAAAUAUUGGCCAGAGACCGAUAGCGCACAAGUAGAGUGAUCGAAAGAUGAAAAGCACUUUGGAAAGAGAGUUAAAAAGCACGUGAAAUUGUUAAAAGGGAAGGGAUUGCAACCAGACUUGCUCGCGGUGUUCCGCCGGUCUUCUGACCGGUCUACUCGCCGCGUUGCAGGCCAGCAUCGUCUGGUGCCGCUGGAUAAGACUUGAGGAAUGUAGCUCCCUCGGGAGUGUUAUAGCCUCUUGUGAUGCAGCGAGCGCCGGGCGAGGUCCGCGCUUCGGCUAGGAUGCUGGCGUAAUGGUCGUAAUCCGCCCGUCUUGAAACACGGACCAAGGAGUCUAACAUCUAUGCGAGUGUUCGGGUGUCAAACCCCUACGCGUAAUGAAAGUGAACGGAGGUGAGAACCGCAAGGUGCAUCAUCGACCGAUCCUGAUGUCUUCGGAUGGAUUUGAGUAAGAGCAUAGCUGUUGGGACCCGAAAGAUGGUGAACUAUGCCUGAAUAGGGUGAAGCCAGAGGAAACUCUGGUGGAGGCUCGCAGCGGUUCUGACGUGCAAAUCGAUCGUCAA